AACAGGAUUAGAUACCCUGGUAGUCCACGCCGUAAACGAUGCCGACUUGGAGGUUGUGCCCUUGAGGCGUGGCUUCCGGAGCUAACGCGUUAAGUCGACCGCCUGGGGAGUACGGCCGCAAGGUUAAAACUCAAAUGAAUUGACGGGGGCCCGCACAAGCGGUGGAGCAUGUGGUUUAAUUCGAUGCAACGCGAAGAACCUUACCUGGUCUUGACAUCCACGGAAGUUUUCAGAGAUGAGAAUGUGCCUUCGGGAACCGUGAGACAGGUGCUGCAUGGCUGUCGUCAGCUCGUGUUGUGAAAUGUUGGGUUGAGUCCCGCAACGAGCGCAACCCUUAUCCUUUGUUGCCAGCGGUCCGGCCGGGAACUCAAAGGAGACUGCCAGUGAUAAACUGGAGGAAGGUGGGGAUGACGUCAAGUCAUCAUGGCCCUUACGACCAGGGCUACACACGUGCUACAAUGGCGCAUACAAAGAGAAGCGACCUCGCGAGAGCAAGCGGACCUCAUAAAGUGCGUCGUAGUCCGGAUUGGAGUCUGCAACUCGACUCCAUGAAGUCGGAAUCGCUAGUAAUCGUGGAUCAGAAUGCCACGGUGAAUACGUUCCCGGGCCUUGUACACACCGCCCGUCACACCAUGGGAGUGGGUUGCAAAAGAAGUAGGUAGCUUAACCUUCGGGAGGGCGCUUACCACUUUGUGAUUCAUGACUGGGGUGAAGUCGUAACAAGGUAACC
RNAcentral lists this ribosomal RNA (730 nucleotides) under uncultured bacterium. RNAcentral's name for it is "bacterial SSU rRNA". It matches the Rfam family "Bacterial small subunit ribosomal RNA", at positions 771 to 1501 of the family's 1533-position model. The record is from RNAcentral.